Long non-coding RNA from Eucalyptus grandis, 532 nucleotides. RefSeq lists it as uncharacterized. The transcript is spliced from 2 exons. The record is from RefSeq and is a predicted model, not a curated record. NCBI's taxonomy places the organism in Eukaryota, Viridiplantae, Streptophyta, Magnoliopsida, Myrtales, Myrtaceae.
AAUCUUAGGUCCAUUUGGCGUGCUUUUUGAACUAAUUCACCAUCUUGACAUUCAUAACAUUGGAUCAGGUCAUGUAUCCAGUGAUUGAACUUUCACACUUCUUGAGAUGUUGCCGUUUAUCUUACAUUGGCUUGAUAACAGGGUCUGCUAUUGACAUGAUGACCAGCACCAUAACUGUUGGUAGUCAAACCAACUGUUGCUCAUAAUGCUGAGGAGGAUUUAAUGCUGUAAAGAAUGAAAUUCGGGUUCGUCAAACCAGAAGGUGGCAAGCAAUUGGCAUCCUAAGGCAUGUUUUGUUCAGCUACUGUACCUUGGAGAUUAAAGAAACAUGCCAUUGACUUCUUGCUUUGCACCACAGAAGGAGAUAUCUCACAGGAGAGUGAGAGUGAAACUCUAGAUUUCUCAUCAUUUGUUCCUAGCCAUUUUGCUGCCUUGCAGUGCAAAAUCUUGGGAUUGACAACGUCAUCAUGUACACAUCGGAUGAUGUGCUAAGGAAGAAAGCUUUUGAUGUACUGGAAAGGGUUAGUGUUUU